GGGUAAAUGUACCGAUUUCCUUCCAGCCUGAAGGCCACCCCUGGAGGCUGAGCGGUGUCACAGCUUCACCUCAUCCAGCCACUUCAUUCUGCAGCUGGGUCCCUGACAAUGAGCCUGGCCGCUUUGCUGCUGGUGCUGGCUCCAGGUACAUUGGGCCAAUACACGGUGACCCAGGACCGGUCCCAGGCCCCUGCCCAUGAAGGAGAACCCAUCCAGCUCAACUGCUCCUACACGGGCUCCGAGUACAGCGUGCACUGGUACCGCCAGCCCCAGGGGGGCCAGCCGCGGUUCGUGGCCUCCCUGUCCUCUAGCGGCAGAGACACCCGAGAGAAUUUCACCAUGAGCCUGGACACCAAAACCAAAAGCAGCUUCUUGUACCUGAACAGCAGCUGCCUGGAAGACGCCGCGCUGUAUCUGUGCGCGCUGGAGCACCGUGCGAGAUGAACACAGGCAGCCCGUCACAAAACCCUGGGUGGGGCAGGCCACAAGGACCGAAGAGAGGAGAUAAGAAGAAGUUAGAAUAGAACAGAGGAUAUGAGCACAGAAGAGAAGAAAGGGAAGUAGAACAGAGUAGGUGAGAGGCAAUAAGAACAGAAUGGAACAGAACAGAAUACAUUGGAAUGGACCAGAACAGAAGCUAUGUGAACAGAAUAAAGGGGAGAGAAGUCAGUAAUUUAAGGAAGAAAUUUGAAGAAACACCUGGAAAAUUAUAGACAGUCACAUUUUCACCUUUUCACCUUCCCCAGUUGCCUGGAUCGGGUGGUUUUAUAUCACAGAUAGCUUCCUUGCCCCACAACACUAGCAGGUGGGGAAGCAUUGUCUGGGGAGACAAUAUGGUAACUCAAUAAUUCCAAUGUGAUUUUCCCUGUUGUUCAGGUCAGACACUUUCAGACUGGAAACAUGCACACAGACAUUCCUCACAUACAGCCACACACAGGACACACUCACACAAGCAUUCUCUCUCUCUCACACACACACACACUCUUGCACAGACAUACACAUUCACAUAAGAAUUCUCACAUACAACCACA
Molecule: non-coding RNA, 1031 nt
Organism: Chelonia mydas (Green sea turtle)
Lineage: Eukaryota; Metazoa; Chordata; Testudines; Cheloniidae
Source: the annotation of a RefSeq genome assembly